This 492-nucleotide ribosomal RNA is filed under the name uncultured bacterium. RNAcentral describes it as "partial 16S ribosomal RNA". It matches the Rfam family "Bacterial small subunit ribosomal RNA", at positions 29 to 507 of the family's 1533-position model. The record is from RNAcentral.
AGUGAACGCUGGCGGUAGGCCUAACACAUGCAAGUCGAACGGCAGCACAGUAAGAGCUUGCUCUUACGGGUGGCGAGUGGCGGACGGGUGAGGAAUACAUCGGAAUCUACUUUUUCGUGGGGGAUAACAUAGGGAAACUUACGCUAAUACCGCAUACGACCUACGGGUGAAAGCAGGGGAUCUUCGGACCUUGCGCGAUUAAAUGAGCCGAUGUCGGAUUAGCUAGUUGGCGGGGUAAAGGCCCACCAAGGCGACGAUCCAUAGCUGGUCUGAGAGGAUGAUCAGCCACACUGGAACUGAGACACGGUCCAGACUCCUACGGGAGGCAGCAGUGGGGAAUAUUGGACAAUGGGCGCAAGCCUGAUCCAGCCAUACCGCGUGGGUGAAGAAGGCCUUCGGGUUGUAAAGCCCUUUUGUUGGGAAAGAAAAGCAGCAGGUUAAUACCCCGCUGUUCUGACGGUACCCAAAGAAUAAGCACCGGCUAACUUCGUG